CCUACGGGUGGCAGCAGUGAGGAAUAUUGGGCAAUGGGCGCAAGCCUGACCCAGCAACGCCGCGUGAAGGAAGAAGGCCUUCGGGUUGUAAACUUCUUUUUUCAGGGACGAAACAAGUGACGGUACCUGACGCAUAAGCCGCGGCUAACUACGUGCCAGCAGCCGCGGUAAUACGUAGGGGGCAAGCGUUAUCCGGAAUGACUGGGUGAAAAGGGUGUGUAGGGGGUUUAGCAAGUUAGGUGUGAAAAGCACGGGCUCAACCUGUGGACUGCAGUUGAAACUGUAGUUCUUGAGUGCAGGAGAGGCAGGCGGAAUUCCUAGUGUAGCGGUGAAAUGCGUAGAUAUUAGGAGGAACACCAGUGGCGAAGGCGGUCUGCUGGACAGCAACUGACGCUGAGGCGCGAAAGCGUGGGGAGCAAACAGGAUUAGAUACCCUGGUAGUC
RNAcentral lists this ribosomal RNA (443 nucleotides) under uncultured bacterium. RNAcentral's name for it is "partial 16S ribosomal RNA". It matches the Rfam family "Bacterial small subunit ribosomal RNA", at positions 338 to 795 of the family's 1533-position model. The record is from RNAcentral.